UACAGAGGGUGCAAGCGUUAAUCGGAAUUACUGGGCGUAAAGCGCACGUAGGCGGUUUUUUAAGUCAGAUGUGAAAGCCCCCGGGCUCAACCUGGGAAUUGCAUUUGGAAACUGGAAAACUUAGAGUGUGUGAGAGGGGGGGUAGAAUUCCAAGUGUAGCGGUGAAAUGCGUAGAGAUUUGGAGGAAUACCAGUGGCGAAGGCGGCCCCCCCUGGCACAACACUGACGCUCAGGUGCGAAAGCGUGGGGGAGCAAAACAGGAUUAGAUACCCGCGUAGU
RNAcentral lists this ribosomal RNA (279 nucleotides) under uncultured bacterium. RNAcentral describes it as "partial 16S ribosomal RNA". It matches the Rfam family "Bacterial small subunit ribosomal RNA", at positions 524 to 794 of the family's 1533-position model. The record is from RNAcentral.